GUUAAUUUAAUUUUCUAUAUGUUUUGUUGUUUGCAUAUAUAAUUAUGUCAGAUUUUUGUUUUUCUUUGACUUCUUUAAUUUAUUUUUCGGCGAGAUAUUGUGUCGGUAUAUCUACGACAUUAACGUGGACGUAAACACAAACAUGAAGCUUAAUCAAUUUCUCUUUACACUAAUCUUAGCAAUGUUUUCUCAAAUAAAAGAUUUUACAAAAUCAACUAUGACGGAUCAAAUACGCAAAUAGUUAUGUGAGUACAACAUAGAUCAUACAAGUUGUAUUUUAAAAAGAGUUGUAAUUGUAGCUUGAACAAAAAUUUUAUAUAAAA
Molecule: small RNA, 323 nt
Filed under: Arabidopsis thaliana (thale cress)
Lineage: Eukaryota; Viridiplantae; Streptophyta; Magnoliopsida; Brassicales; Brassicaceae
Description: ATSL211020
Source: RNAcentral